Rhinopithecus roxellana (golden snub-nosed monkey) is the source of this 1530-nucleotide RNA transcript. It is a transcript of the gene named protein FAM8A1 pseudogene, with no coding region annotated. The transcript is spliced from 2 exons. The record is from RefSeq and is a predicted model, not a curated record. NCBI's taxonomy places the organism in Eukaryota, Metazoa, Chordata, Mammalia, Primates, Cercopithecidae.
AUGAUGAGGAAGACCCAAAAAAGGGGGAGCUGCAGCUCAAGCCGCCUUGUGAUUUCCAUCAGAAUGAAUUCACACGACGAGUCUGUCCCUUCCCUGAGAGCCCCCCCUGCCGCCACGGUCCCAUGCCCCCAGGACGACCCCCAGGUCAAACCCCAAGUCCCUGGCCGGUCCAAGCCCUGGCCUCCGGAGCUGUGCCGCUGACAAAUCGGAGCCGCCCCCAUGAGCGCAGGAAAUGCGGAAAGGCGGCCUCAGCCGGUGCUGGGCUGCAGGGGCAAGCGGGUUGCGAAGUGCCCACGGCCACAACUCCCCCGGAGAGACCGGGGAGGCUGAGCGCCCUUGAGUGCUCCAGGCAAGUGCACGAGUGGCUAUAGCUGUCCUGCUGCGACUACCUUACCUGGGGCAGCCCCCAAUAGUCCUGGCAGAGCUUCCCUUCGGGCAGCACUGCCGUCCCCACAGCUGGGCUAUUACAACCCCUUCUACUUCCUGAGUCCUGGACCGCGGGCCCUGACCCGGGGAUAGCUGCAGGCAUCAGCACCUGGGCUCCAGUGGCAGGCCUGGGACCCCGGGCUUUUCAUGUGCAGGCGUCCCUGUGGGCCAGUCCGUUGAUGAAGGUAGAAUCCACAGCCCCUUCCUGAAGCCUGAGACCGGGCAACAGGCAGGCAGAGAAUGUUAUUCCAUCCUUGGUCCACCAUGGUGAAUUUCUUUAUUCUCUUCUUUGAAAAAGCAGCCAUUGUCUUAAGCAUUAUGCACCUCAGUGGGAUAAGGGAUAUCUCUAGGUGUGCUAUGCAUUAUAUAAUGGAAAACAUAGAUAAAGACACAUCAAUGGAAGACUUGCAGAAAAUGAUGGUUGUGGCUCUUAUAUACAGAUUGUUAGUUUGUUUCUAUGAGACAAUUUGCAUCUGGGGAGCAGGUGGAGCUACCCCAGGGAAGUUCGUGGUGGGGCUUCGAGUUGUGACAUGUGAUACAUUAGUGCUUAUUGCACUAAGUCGGGUUUUAGUGAUUCCUUCCUCAAAUGUUAGCAUUACAAUGUCCACUACAUGAGCUUUGAUCAAGAAUUUUUCGAUUGCUUCUUUUUUCCCUGCUUGCAUCACACUGCUGUUUUUUCAGCAUAAUCAAACAGCCUAUGAUAUUGUGGCAGGAACCACUGUGGUAAAAAGAAAUGGGGUCAGAUGAUGCCCCCAAAGCCCUGAUUUCCACACGUUAUAAUGACAAGACUAAAUUGUGUAUCAAGGCCAUCAGUAUCCCUGGGUUACACUAAUUAAUGAUUUAGAAAUUAAAGCAGUCACUCCAGUGUGAUGCAGGUCACUACUCUGAAAGUGUAUUGAUUUUACUUAAAUGCCAAAGAACUUUUCCAGAAGAAAAACCUAUUAAAUUCAAAUAUUAAAAUUUGUAGAUAAAAAAUGCAAAUGAUGUAUAAACAAUGGACAAUAUAUACUUUAAGAUCUACGGUACUUUCUUAAGAUCUAAGAAUUUGCUGAAAGCAUUUUCAGCUUUGAAAUCUCCGAAUGAAACUUCAAAAUUUGGUUUAUC